This 253-nucleotide ribosomal RNA is filed under the name uncultured bacterium. Its description in RNAcentral is "partial 16S ribosomal RNA". It matches the Rfam family "Bacterial small subunit ribosomal RNA", at positions 524 to 776 of the family's 1533-position model. The record is from RNAcentral.
UACGGGGGUGGCAAGCGUUGUUCGGAAUUACUGGGCGUAAAGGGCGCGUAGGCGGCCGGGGAGGUCGCAUGUGAAAGCCGGGGGCUUAACCUCCGAAGGGCAUGCGAAACCGCCCGGCUUGAGUGUCGGAGGGGAAGGCGGAAUUCCGGGUGUAGCGGUGAAAUGCGUAGAUAUCCGGAGGAACACCGGUGGCGAAGGCGGCCUUCUGGACGACGACUGACGCUGAGGCGCGAAAGCCAGGGGAGCAAACGGG